GUGGGGAAUAUUGGACAAUGGGCGCAAGCCUGAUCCAGCCAUGCCGCGUGAGUGAUGAAGGCCCUAGGGUUGUAAAGCUCUUUCGCCAGGGACGAUAAUGACGGUACCUGGAUAAGAAGCCCCGGCUAACUUCGUGCCAGCAGCCGCGGUAAUACGAAGGGGGCUAGCGUUGUUCGGAAUCACUGGGCGUAAAGCGCACGUAGGCGGAUCUUUAAGUCAGGGGUGAAAUCCCGAGGCUCAACCUCGGAACUGCCUUUGAUACUGGAGGUCUCGAGUCCGGGAGAGGUGAGUGGAACUGCGAGUGUAGAGGUGAAAUUCGUAGAUAUUCGCAAGAACACCAGUGGCGAAGGCGGCUCACUGGCCCGGAACUGACGCUGAGGUGCGAAAGCGUGGGGAGCAAACAGGAUUAGAAACCCGGGUAGUCC
RNAcentral lists this ribosomal RNA (425 nucleotides) under uncultured bacterium. RNAcentral's name for it is "bacterial SSU rRNA". It matches the Rfam family "Bacterial small subunit ribosomal RNA", at positions 354 to 796 of the family's 1533-position model. The record is from RNAcentral.